GAUGAACGCUGGCGGCGUGCCUAAUACAUGCAAGUCGAGCGAACGGACGAGAAGCUUGCUUCUCUGAUGUUAGCGGCGGACGGGUGAGUAACACGUGGAUAACCUACCUAUAAGACUGGGAUAGCUUCGGGAAACCGUAGCUAAUACCGGAUAAUAUUUUGAACCGCAUGGUUCAACAGUGAAAGACGGUCUUGCUGUCACUUAUAGAUGGAUCCGCGCUGCAUUAGCUAGUUGGUAAGGUAACGGCUUACCAAGGCAACGAUGCAUAGCCGACCUGAGAGGGUGAUCGGCCACACUGGAACUGAGACACGGUCCAGACUCCUACGGGAGGCAGCAGUAGGGAAUCUUCCGCAAUGGGCGAAAGCCUGACGGAGCAACGCCGCGUGAGUGAUGAAGGUCUUCGGAUCGUAAAACUCUGUUAUUAGGGAAGAACAUAUGUGUAAGUAACUGUGCACAUCUUGACGGUACCUAAUCAGAAAGCCACGGCUAACUACGUG
Molecule: ribosomal RNA, 497 nt
Filed under: uncultured bacterium
Lineage: Bacteria
Description: partial 16S ribosomal RNA
Rfam family: Bacterial small subunit ribosomal RNA
Source: RNAcentral